This 465-nucleotide ribosomal RNA is filed under the name uncultured bacterium. Its description in RNAcentral is "partial 16S ribosomal RNA". It matches the Rfam family "Bacterial small subunit ribosomal RNA", at positions 28 to 507 of the family's 1533-position model. The record is from RNAcentral.
GACGAACGCUGGCGGCGUGCUUAACACAUGCAAGUCGAACGGAAAGGCCCUGCUUGCCGGGUACUCGAGUGGCGAACGGGUGAGUAACACGUGGGUGAUCUGCCCUGCACUUCGGGAUAAGCCUGGGAAACUGGGUCUAAUACCGGAUAGGAGCCAUUUUUAGUGUGAUGGUUGGAAAGUUUUUUCGGUGUAGGAUGAGCUCGCGGCCUAUCAGCUUGUUGGUGGGGUAAUGGCCUACCAAGGCGGCGACGGGUAGCCGGCCUGAGAGGGUGGACGGCCACAUUGGGACUGAGAUACGGCCCAGACUCCUACGGGAGGCAGCAGGGGGGAAGAUUGCACAAGGGGCGCAAGCCUGAUGCAGCGACGCCGCGUGGGGGAUGACGGCCUUCGGGUUGUAAACUCCUUUCGCUAGGGACGAAGCUUUUUGUGACGGUACCUAGAUAAGAAGCACCGGCUAACUACGUG